Molecule: long non-coding RNA, 1351 nt
Organism: Mustela lutreola (European mink)
Lineage: Eukaryota; Metazoa; Chordata; Mammalia; Carnivora; Mustelidae
Exons: 3
Source: RefSeq, a predicted model, not a curated record
GAGAGACAGAAGGACAUAAAUCUACGGGGGGGCGGGGUGGGGAGGGACAGGAUUAUGGCGCUGUGACAGCCAUCAGAACAGAGACCUAGAUGGGAAGGGAGAAAUGUGGGGACCUGUUACGGAACAAAGAAAAGAAUCCCGGGACCUAACUGGUCAGGGAAGAAGGAGGAAGCCAAGCAUUUUCCGUCAGGGGAAAGGCUAGCGAAGGACGGAAACUGGUAAAUACAGGUAGGGAUUUACGUGGAACCAUUUUGAGAAAGGGAGUUCUCAGUGUCAUCCCAUCCUCCAUUCAUCCGUGUACCCUUCAGUCCCAAUAUUCACAGACCGCACUGGGGGCCCACAGCUGUGAACCAGCAACUCUGGUCUAUGAUUUUCCUUUGCUCCUGGUGGCGACACUGCUAUUGCAUUUCUAAGGAGGCUGCAAUGGGGAAGCGGAAGGAGGCAGGAUGUACUCAGAAGGACAUCUAGUGGGAGGAAAGGGUAGAAGAGACUCCUCUCAAAAUCCCGGCCACAUUUUCUUCCUCUCACUCCCGGGACUCCAGCCACAUGUAUUGUGGGUGUCUGCAUCACUGCCUCCUUAACGUCCUCAUUCAGAAGUUCUUUGAGACUCAUCUAUUUCAUCUUCCUUCAUCAUAGGACCUAACACAACGCUUUGCAUCUACUAGAUGUUCAAGAAAUAUUUGCUGAAGGCAUAGAUGUCUCAAGUGAAGACAUGGGGGUGGGAGAUGUGGGCAAGAUCUGUGAUUCAAGACAAAUGAGAAUCCAAUUCAGUGUCCACUCAGUGGCCAAGGGCUUCAGGUGCAGAGGAGAAAGAAGAAAAUGAAAAUGUUUCUCUUUCUGCUAGCACUCCUCCUCCAACCUCUAGAAGGUUUACUCCCAGCACUUCUUCAGCUUGGCUCCUACUGCAUUAUUUUACAUGUGUUAAUGGAUGCUUUAUAAAUAAAUUCUUUGCUAGUAGUGCGUGUGUGCGUCCGUGCAUCUGCGCACGCGCUCUGUUCCUCCUUGCGGGGGGUAAGCUGUCUUCUGUGCCUUUUACAUUACCCGGUAGUAGCUGGAACCAGACACUGAAGGGGCUGGAUCUUGGAAGAAGAUCAUCCGGUUCUGGUCUCAGGACACCUGCCUCCAGGCCCAGCACCCCCAGUCUUCCAUCACCAGCUAAAACUCCCUUUCCGCCCAGCCCCUGGAAACACUUCACUAAGCUUUGCCUCCAGUUUCCCAGACCGCUCUGGGAUGGGAAGCGUCUGCCCACCAUCAUGCUGCCCUCUUCUGUUCAGAAAGUGCAACGUCGCUAAUUUAAGAGGUCUGGAUGGUGCCAGCCACCCAGGAAGACAAGAUCCCUGCCACAGACAGC